RNAcentral lists this ribosomal RNA (481 nucleotides) under uncultured bacterium. RNAcentral describes it as "bacterial SSU rRNA". It matches the Rfam family "Bacterial small subunit ribosomal RNA", at positions 501 to 981 of the family's 1533-position model. The record is from RNAcentral.
CUACGUGCCAGCAGCCGCGGUAAUACGUAGGUGGCAAGCGUUGUCCGGAAUUAUUGGGCGUAAAGCGCGCGCAGGCGGAUUGGUCAGUCUGUCUUAAAAGUUCGGGGCUUAACCCCGUGAUGGGAUGGAAACUGCCAAUCUAGAGUAUCGGAGAGGAAAGUGGAGUUCCUAGUGUAGCGGUGAAAUGCGUAGAUAUCAGGAAGAACACCAGUGGCGAAGGCGACUUUCUGGACGAAAACUGACGCUGAGGCGCGAAAGCCAGGGGAGCGAACGGGAUUAGAUACCCCGGUAGUCCUGGCCGUAAACGAUGGGUACUAGGUGUAGGAGGUAUCGACCCCUUCUGUGCCGGAGUUAACGCAAUAAGUACCCCGCCUGGGGAGUACGACCGCAAGGUUGAAACUCAAAGGAAUUGACGGGGGCCCGCACAAGCAGCGGAGCAUGUGGUUUAAUUCGAAGCAACGCGAAGAACCUUACCAGGGCU